UUCACUUAAGGUGGGUGAGAUAUCAAGGUUAUGAUACUAUGAUUUUUUUCUGACUUUUGUGAAUGAUUUUAAAUUUAAAAUUUGCAUGAGAACUUUUUCAAUAUCUAACCUAAUAGCAUGCAUUUUUCAAUUGUCUAAUACUUUUUUUAAGGGACAAAAUAAAGAUUUACCAAUAAAUUGAAUUUUUUCGUGAUUAUGUAACUAGAGAAGGCAUUGAUUUUGUGAUAGUGUAUGUUUUUAUAUCAAUCCAUGAAAAUUCUCUGCUCUCACUGGACCGAUUUUAAUAAUCAAUACGUCAAAAGGACCAGAUUAUAAUAUUAUUUAACUACUCAGUGCCAAAAUUACGAUACCGUAAAAAAUAGCAUUUUCAAACAUUUUUUCUUGCAUUUUAAAACUGAUUGAUAACUGUAUGAUAGAAGAAAUUUUAGCUUCAAUGUGAAAUUAAUUUCUCUUAGACCUAUUUGUACAUGCCAAAAGAUCAAAAAUCGUAUCCAAUUGAAAACAUUACACACAAAAAUAAAAAAAAAAUCACUAAUUCACCUUAAACGCAGUAGGACCCUAAAAAAAUUACGAUUUUUACUAUCGGAGAUCGGUUAAAAAUACACAUUGCUUUUUUUUG
Molecule: long non-coding RNA, 619 nt
Organism: Daktulosphaira vitifoliae (grape phylloxera)
Lineage: Eukaryota; Metazoa; Arthropoda; Insecta; Hemiptera; Phylloxeridae
Exons: 3
Source: RefSeq, a predicted model, not a curated record